RNAcentral lists this non-coding RNA (185 nucleotides) under Spirochaetales bacterium. RNAcentral describes it as "6S RNA". It matches the Rfam family "6S / SsrS RNA". From Rfam's summary of the family: E. coli 6S RNA was the first non coding RNA to be sequenced, but its function was unknown until recently. The record is from RNAcentral. Lineage: Bacteria; Pseudomonadati; Spirochaetota; Spirochaetia; Spirochaetales.
UACUGCCUGCGUUGCUCGUGUGGUGAAGAUUGUAUUCGCCGCAACUCAUAAUUCAGGGAUCUCAAUAUCAAUUUGUAUAAUAUCGGCUGUUUUUCAGAAGGUAGAGUGCAGAGUGAGGGAACCCACCUUGUAUAUCAAGGGUAGAAUUUCAAACUUCACACGUCCACGGCAUCUGCGGGUUUUUU